AAAAUAUACAUAAGUCUCGAUCAAUAUAUUCUCCAAACAUACUAACUCUUGGGUACAUUAAACAAACCCUACAAUACACACAAGAUUAAAAAGCUUAAUAUCUUAUGACAUGUCAACUAUAUCCGAACACAUUUCAAAAUUGUUUAAACAAUUAAAACAUAUUUAAUAAUUUCAUUAAGCAUCUUAACCAAUUCUAUUCAACCAAAAAUCAUCUUAAUCAUAUAGUUUAUUCAACAACCUAAGCAUUCAGCUUAAGAUAAUACAAAGUAAAAUAAAAAAUUAAAGAGUAAAAACCGAAACUGUCACGCUUCUCCUACUUUCUCAUUCCCAUAAGCUUUAGAGGCCUCGCCAACCUCCUUAGCUUCAAUUCAUACCAAAACAAUAAAAAUAAGUUUGUAAAACAUUAAUCAACAAUUAAAACACUAAAGUUAUUAAGAUGAUGCAAUAUGAAGAAAAACCGAGAGGCUCAUGUCGCUUCCAAAAAUCUCAUAAGAGAAUUAUUUUAUACUUAACCUAACCUUGCUAAAUUUGAUUUCUAUUGGUUUAACUAUAAUCCAAAGACCAAAACUCACCUAGAAAUUAUCAAGAACCUAACUCUUCUCAUUUUCUCUCUGUAGAACUCAUUAAUGGUAACUCACUAAAGCUUGACUAGAACUCUAAUUGAAUUAGAAAUUCUUUGUUCUAAUAACAUUCGAAUCUCAAAAACACUUUGAAUUUAAUUUGAAAACUACACAAAAACACAAAAUCAAAGUUUUCUCUCUUUAGCUUAAAACUAACCUAACUGACAAGGAAAAGAGAACAUGCUUGAUUUUCUUGAAGAAAUAUUGAUUCCUAGUAGUUUAAAUUAUCUUCAGAACCUCAAAACAUUAAAUCUCAAAUAAAUUUUCAUCAAGAAUCAUUAAAUUCCCAAAACCUCUCCAGAUUGACGUGGAAGUAAUUUUUGAAAGGAGAAAUGUUGAAUCAAGCUUAAAACAUUUGACCAAAUGAAAGAAAUUAUCAAAAUAUUGCUUACCUUGUUGGAAUUGAAAGAUUGAAAUCAAGAAUUGAAGUUGAAAUUGAGAGAAAUUUUGAGUAGAAAAUUUUAAGUAUCGUGAAAAUGAUUUUGGAGUAAUUGUCCCCUCCUCAAUUUUCAAACCUAU
Molecule: long non-coding RNA, 1139 nt
Filed under: Gossypium barbadense (sea-island cotton)
Lineage: Eukaryota; Viridiplantae; Streptophyta; Magnoliopsida; Malvales; Malvaceae
Description: long non-coding RNA (GBAR_LNC021133)
Source: RNAcentral